This is a long non-coding RNA of Symphalangus syndactylus (siamang), 231 nucleotides long. RefSeq lists it as uncharacterized. NCBI's taxonomy places the organism in Eukaryota, Metazoa, Chordata, Mammalia, Primates, Hylobatidae. The record is from RefSeq and is a predicted model, not a curated record.
AUAAAUUGGAAAGAAUUGACAUCUUCAUGCUGUUGCCUCUUCUCAUCUUGGAACACUUUAUAUAUUUCCAUUCAUUUAAGAGAGAGACCCAAAUCUGCUCUUCUGACUCUCCAUCAGUGCAUGUCAAUACCAUCCAAGUUAUGACUCAAGAUGGAAACAAGAAAGUCAUCCUUCACAUUUGCCUGCCCCUUAAUUUUCAUUGAGUCUCUUAAAGAUUAUUCCUGAAAUAUC